This 634-nucleotide ribosomal RNA is filed under the name uncultured Actinomycetes bacterium. RNAcentral's name for it is "bacterial SSU rRNA". It matches the Rfam family "Bacterial small subunit ribosomal RNA", at positions 72 to 720 of the family's 1533-position model. Lineage: Bacteria; Bacillati; Actinomycetota; Actinomycetes. The record is from RNAcentral.
AGCCCAGCUUGCUGGGUGGAUUAGUGGCGAACGGGUGAGUAACACGUGAGUAACCUGCCCUUAACUCUGGGAUAAGCCUGGGAAACUGGGUCUAAUACCGGAUAGGAGCGUCCACCGCAUGGUGGGUGUUGGAAAGAUUUAUCGGUUUUGGAUGGACUCGCGGCCUAUCAGCUUGUUGGUGAGGUAAUGGCUCACCAAGGCGACGACGGGUAGCCGGCCUGAGAGGGUGACCGGCCACACUGGGACUGAGACACGGCCCAGACUCCUACGGGAGGCAGCAGUGGGGAAUAUUGCACAAUGGGCGCAAGCCUGAUGCAGCGACGCCGCGUGAGGGAUGACGGCCUUCGGGUUGUAAACCUCUUUCAGUAGGGAAGAAGCGAAAGUGACGGUACCUGCAGAAGAAGCACCGGCUAACUACGUGCCAGCAGCCGCGGUAAUACGUAGGGUGCGAGCGUUAUCCGGAAUUAUUGGGCGUAAAGAGCUCGUAGGCGGUUUGUCGCGUCUGUCGUGAAAGUCCGGGGCUUAACCCCGGAUCUGCGGUGGGUACGGGCAGACUAGAGUGCAGUAGGGGAGACUGGAAUUCCUGGUGUAGCGGUGGAAUGCGCAGAUAUCAGGAGGAACACCGAUGGCGAAG